This 573-nucleotide small RNA is filed under the name Pongo abelii (Sumatran orangutan). Its description in RNAcentral is "retained intron". Lineage: Eukaryota; Metazoa; Chordata; Mammalia; Primates; Hominidae. The record is from RNAcentral.
GUCGCGCUGCAGGAGCUGGGAGCUGGCAGCAACAUGGUGGAGUACAAACGGGCCACGCUUCGGGAUGAAGACGCACCCGAGACCCCCGUAGAGGGCGGGGCCUCCCCGGACGCCAUGGAGGUGGGAUUCCAGAAGGGGACAAGACAGCUGUUAGGCUCACGCACGCAGCUGGAGCUGGUCUUAGCAGGUGUCUCUCUACUGCUGGCUGCACUGCUUCUGGGCUGCCUUGUGGCCCUAGGGGUCCAGUACCACAGAGGUAGGUGGGCCCACACUCUUCAUCGGUAUUCAUAACUAGGGGUUCUGGAGGCCUAAGGGCCUCUAAGAUUUUCAUUUGUGAGGACCAAGCCUUCCCUGCAGAAAGCCCCCGGCUUUGCUUUCUCUUCCCAACCUUCCUGCUGUCAUGGCCCUUGCAAAGAGUUUGCCUCUUCCAGACAGACAGACUGACAGUCUCCCACCCUCUGGCUGUGUUCCCUACCACAGACCCAUCCCACAGCACCUGCCUUACAGAGGCCUGCAUUCGAGUGGCUGGAAAAAUCCUGGAGUCCCUGGACCGAGGGGUGAGCCCCUGUGAGG